UUGCUUCAGCAGCACAUAUACUAAAAUUGGAACGAUACAGAGAGAAUUAGCAUGGCCCCUGUGCAAGGAUGACAUGCAAAUUCAUGAAGCAUUACAUAUUAAA
RNAcentral lists this small nuclear RNA (103 nucleotides) under Dasypus novemcinctus (nine-banded armadillo). Lineage: Eukaryota; Metazoa; Chordata; Mammalia; Cingulata; Dasypodidae. The record is from RNAcentral.